Molecule: non-coding RNA, 3161 nt
Organism: Ictidomys tridecemlineatus (thirteen-lined ground squirrel)
Lineage: Eukaryota; Metazoa; Chordata; Mammalia; Rodentia; Sciuridae
Source: RefSeq, a predicted model, not a curated record
CCCCACCGUCGCCCCUGCCAGCCACGGUUCAGGUGAGGACAGACUCUGAGAGUUAAGGGGUGGGUGAGCUGCGUGCGCCGGGCUUCUUAGGAGACCCUCGGAGUAGCCCACCACCCUGCGCAGUAGUGGAGGGUGACCAGGAAAGGGGCACCCGCUCUUCUGCCUGGCUUGCUCGGCCUUCAUCCUGCAGAGGCCGGCUCUUGGUCCGGUGGUGAGUCAACACCAGAUAGCAGCCCGGGAGCCCAUCUCACUGCGCAUCUUCCCUCGGGUGCUCCCCGCCUGCCACCUGCCCCAGCACGCCUGUCGUUUGCAAGCAAGGCUGCUACUCAGCAUUUACCACUCAGGGCCGUCCCUAGAGCCGCUGACUCAGCGAGUCCCUCUGCGCGGCCGUGGGAUCUGCUGGAGACGUCAUCGCACCUGGUGCUGGGAAAGCCGGGCCGUGGGUCUCGGUGACUUGCCGGCUCCCCUGCCGUUGGAGCCCAGCUCAGCCCUGCCGUGCCUCCUGGUCCCCCAGAAGGAAGGCUGUGGGGCUUCUUUGUAAACAUCACUAUUAACCUGAACCAGCUCGGGCACCCGGAAACACUCACGUGAACAGGGUGAUUCCAGAUAAAAUCAGACAUGAACUUCAUAGAAAGGAAGGGGGACACGGCCUGCUGAACACGGGGGUUCGCUGUGCUGUGAGGGUUCCGGAGGACGCGUAGGACACCACCAUUGGAAGGCACUUCCUGGUCCCAAGUAGGUACAUGUGUCACUCAAGAGGGAUGGCAUUGCAGAGGCUCUGUCCCCAGGCACUCGGCUUGGCCUCCCACACCCAGCUCCCCGACACCAAGACCAGAGAAGCUUGUCCCUCAGAGCCUCGGUCUCCCCCGUCACCAGAGUGUGUGUGCAGAGCCCUGCUCGUGGCUGGCUCUGGCUGGCACGCAGCCAGUCAGGACACCCCCCACAGUGGCCCUGGUGUUAGGAGGUCAGCGUGGGGACCCGGCCAGGAGUCACGUGGGCCCAACCAGGGUUCCCCGAGGGAGCGUCCAGAGCGUCAUCUGGGACCUCUAGGACCGUGUCCUUUGUUUCCCAACGUGGUGGGCAGAAGGGACUCAGAGAAGUCCACGUCCUGAUCCGGGGACCCAUGAAUAAGUUCCGUCACCAGGACGGAGGGCUGUGGGGAUGGAGUGGUGUUUCUUUUUAGGAAAAGGGAACUGCUCAGCACCUGCUGCGGGGCCAGCCUAAUCUCACCAGGUCUCCGGAGCAGAGAACCUUCUAGGUCUGGAAGCAGAGGGGGAGCCUGGGAAGUUCCAGAAGGCCAGCCCCUUGCCAGCUCCACAGAGGCCACACGCAAGGACCAGCCAGAGGCCCCGGAUGCCCAGGAGAGUCCAGCUGGCAGCUGGCAGGGACACAGGCACCUGCAGCCACCGGAACUAGGGUCUGGGUGGCCUGGGAGAGCGCAGAGUGGGCUCUGCUAGCGCCUCCUGGUUAGAGCCCAGCUGGGCCACAGCAGGACUUCCACCCGAGAUCACAGCAGAGGCGGCCGCUGACUCUGUCAGCCUGGUGCCUGGGGAGGGCCCACGACCCACCCGGCCAUCUUGGGCCAGGCCCUCCCUCCUCCCUCCGCCCCAGACCCAGGCACCCCCUUCCCAGGGCCCCUGCACCUGCUGUCCACCUGGGCCCUCUUGCCCCCGCUGACCUCUUCCCUCUGUCCUCUCAGUAAGCCCAGCCAUGCCCUGUCAGGCCCCGACCCUCAGUCCCGCCUUAUUUCUGUAAUUUAGCAAACAUACAUUCAGGAUCUGGCUCUUCUAUUAACCAGUGGCUCUCACCUGGCAGUACUGUUGUCCCCUCCCCUAGAUACAGGUGACAAUGCCUGGAGGCAUCUUUAGCAUCAUGACUGGGGGUCAGGACCAGGAAAGGACCCGGGAUGCUGACCCGCUUUCUACAGUGCGCAGGACAGCCCACCCCAAGGCAUGGCCCAGCCCCGACGUCAGCAGCAGUGACCGACCGUGAACUGUCUAAACUCUCAGCUCUGCGGGACACCCACUUCCUCUCGCUCUGUGUGCUGGCCCCUGGAAAGGACAGAGCCUGGCACGUAGUUGGCACUCCCCAGAUCCGUCUGGAUGGGGAGCGUGUGGAAGGUCACUUCCUAGGACCAGCCAGCGCUCGCCCCUCCAUCCCAGCUGCUCAGUGGUUACCCAUCACCACCUCCUCCUUCCCCAAACUCACAGAAGCAGGACCAGACUUCUGCUUCCGCUCUGAGGCCCUUGGGGGACUCUGUCCCCUUCUGUCCUCCUGAGCCGAGUCUGCCUCUGGCCUCCUGCUGUGGAUGGUGAGACCCUGCUCUUCCUGUGGGCAGGUUCCCUCCUCUCCCCAGCCAGGCCCUCCCUUCCCUCCCGGCGUCCUGAUGUGGAAGAAAACCCUGUGAGUCCAUCUGGUGCAGUGACCUGGGCUGACAUUUCAUUCUCUCAGGCCCCUCGAGGCCUGGGGUCGGUGGAGUGCGACUGACACAAGCUGCUUUAGCAAAGCAAGUGAAUGGGGCGGCCCUGGAGUCCCUCCAGAGGAGCCCGCUGGCCGGCGGCCUGCUGAGCCGCCAACCCCAGGGAGAGCGGAGAGAGACGGGAGCCGCGAUUCUCAAAUAAGACUCUCUCCCAGAAACUAAUGUUCUGGAAAACUCUUUCUAAUUAGCCAUUAAUUGGUACAUCAGCAGCACCGUGUGCUGAGGAUUAAGUGGGUAAUUCCCAUUACUUGCAGGAGCACUGCGAUGCGUCCAGUCAGCCGGGCAGUGAGCAGCCUCCUGUGCCCGACGCCGCCCGCCAGCCCAGGCCUGAGCAGCUGCGGCCCACGGUGCAGCCCUUGCUCGGUGGAGCCUCGGCCCUCACCUCCCCAGCAGCCUCCAGACACGUGUCCGCCUGCAGCUGAUUCUCCUUUCCGACUUCUUGGGCGGACAGUUUUGGAGACUGCUUCAUUGCGUAUGUCCCCGUCUCCCGCUCAGGAAGCUCGUGUGGGCGCCUCUUGGUCACUCGAGGUGCCACUGUGGGUGAUUUUCGCUGUGCUCGUUGGUUCUAUAGCACCACUUAUUUUAAACAGCUCUGAUCCAGCUCUUAAUCAGAGCAUUUUAUGAUACUGUCAUUACAAAAAGCCCUGGACUUUAUUCUCCAUUAAAAAGAUCAUCAAGUCAC